Molecule: ribosomal RNA, 568 nt
Filed under: uncultured Glomus
Lineage: Eukaryota; Fungi; Glomeromycota; Glomeromycetes; Glomerales; Glomeraceae
Description: bacterial SSU rRNA
Rfam family: Eukaryotic small subunit ribosomal RNA
Source: RNAcentral
AAUUCACUAGUGAUUUUGGAGGGCAAGUCUGGUGCCAGCAGCCGCGGUAAUUCCAGCUCCAAUAGCGUAUAUUAAAGUUGUUGCAGUUAAAAAGCUCGUAGUUGAAUUUCGAGAUCAAUUUUCUUGGUCAUACCUUUGUAUGUACUGGUCUUAUUGAUUUCUCCCUUCUGAUGAACCAUGAUGUCAUUAAUUUGGUGUUAUGGGGAAUCAGGACUAUUACUUUGAAAAAAUUAGAGUGUUUAAAGCAGGCUCACGCUUGAAUACAUUAGCAUGGAAUAAUGAAAUAGGACGUUUGAUUCUAUUUUGUUGGUUUCUAGGAUUGACGUAAUGAUUAAUAGGGAUAGUUGGGGGCAUUAGUAUUCAAUUGUCAGAGGUGAAAUUCUUGGAUUUAUUGAAGACUAACUACUGCGAAAGCAUUUGCCAAAGAUGUUUUCAUUAAUCAAGAACGAAAGUUAGGGGAUCGAAGACGAUCAGAUACCGUCGUAGUCUUAACCAUAAACUAUGCCGACUAGGAAUCGGAUGAUGUUAAUUUUUUGAUGACUCAUUCGGCGCCUUACGGGAAACAAUC